UUUAUAUAUUGCUUGUUUUCUCUGACUAUACAUAAUGUAGAGUGUGAAACUCCGGCGGGCACACAUCGAUUUCCAUCGAUGGCCAUUUAGCGUCUCGCCGAAGCAACCAAUUGUAAUCAAGGGUGGGAGUUCCUGCAAGCAGGAGAACUCGGUAAUGAUCCUUCCGCAGGUUCACCUACGGAAA
This 184-nucleotide unclassified non-coding RNA is filed under the name uncultured fungus. RNAcentral describes it as "sequence contains ITS1". The record is from RNAcentral. Lineage: Eukaryota; Fungi.